This 476-nucleotide ribosomal RNA is filed under the name Enterobacter cloacae. RNAcentral describes it as "bacterial SSU rRNA". It matches the Rfam family "Bacterial small subunit ribosomal RNA", at positions 969 to 1428 of the family's 1533-position model. The record is from RNAcentral. Lineage: Bacteria; Pseudomonadati; Pseudomonadota; Gammaproteobacteria; Enterobacterales; Enterobacteriaceae.
CCUUACCGGGUUUAUGAGAUCCAGAGAAGUUUAGAGAGAUGGGUGUGGUGUUCUUCGGGAAAUGUGAGAUGAGGUGAUGCAUGGAUGUUGUCAGCUUGUGUUGUGAAAGUGUUGGGGUUAAGUAACCGGAAGGGAGUGGCAACCAUUUAUGCUUGUGUUGGCUAGAGGUUGGGGCGGGGGAAAAUUAAAGGAGAUUGCCAGUGAUAAACUGGAGGAAGGUGGGGAUGAGGUCAAGUGAUCAUGGGCGGUUAGGACCAGGGCUACACAAGUGUAGGCAAUGGCGCAUACAAAGAGAAGUGACCUCGCGAGAGCAAGCGGACCUCAUAAAGUGUGUCGUAGUCAGGAUUGGAGUCUGCAACUUGACUGCAUGAAGUAGGAAUUGCUGGUAAUGGUGGAUCAGAAUGUCACGGUGAAUAUGUUUCAGGGCGUUGUACACACCGCCCGUCACAGCAUGGGAGUGGGUUGCAAAAGAAGUA